GUGGCGAACGGGUGAGUAACACGUGGGCAAUCUGCCCUUCACUCUGGGACAAGCCCUGGAAACGGGGUCUAAUACCGGAUAACACUCUGUCCUGCAUGGGACGGGGUUAAAAGCUCCGGCGGUGAAGGAUGAGCCCGCGGCCUAUCAGCUUGUUGGUGGGGUAAUGGCCUACCAAGGCGACGACGGGUAGCCGGCCUGAGAGGGCGACCGGCCACACUGGGACUGAGACACGGCCCAGACUCCUACGGGAGGCAGCAGUGGGGAAUAUUGCACAAUGGGCGAAAGCCUGAUGCAGCGACGCCGCGUGAGGGAUGACGGCCUUCGGGUUGUAAACCUCUUUCAGCAGGGAAGAAGCGCAAGUGACGGUACCUGCAGAAGAAGCACCGGCUAACUACGUGCCAGCAGCCGCGGUAAUACGUAGGGUGCGAGCGUUGUCCGGAAUUAUUGGGCGUAAAGAGCUCGUAGGCGGCUUGUCACGUCGGAUGUGAAAGCUCGGGGCUUAACUCCGAGUCUGCAUUCGAUACGGGCUAGCUAGAGUGUGGUAGGGGAGAUCGGAAUUCCUGGUGUAGCGGUGAAAUGCGCAGAUAUCAGGAGGAACACCGGUGGCGAAGGCGGAUCUCUGGGCCAUUACUGACGCUGAGGAGCGAAAGCGUGGGGAGCGAACAGGAUUAGAUACCCUGGUAGUCCACGCCGUAAACGUUGGGAACUAGGUGUUGGCGACAUUCCACGUCGUCGGUGCCGCAGCUAACGCAUUAAGUUUCCCCGCCUGGGGAGUACGGCCGCAAGGCUAAAACUCAAAGGAAUUGACGGG
Molecule: ribosomal RNA, 811 nt
Filed under: Streptomyces sp.
Lineage: Bacteria; Bacillati; Actinomycetota; Actinomycetes; Kitasatosporales; Streptomycetaceae
Description: bacterial SSU rRNA
Rfam family: Bacterial small subunit ribosomal RNA
Source: RNAcentral